CCUACGGGUGGCAGCAGUCGAGAAUCAUUCACAAUGGGGGAAACCCUGAUGGUGCGACGCCGCGUGGGGGAAUGAAGGUCUUCGGAUUGUAAACCCCUGUCAUGUGGGAGCAAAUUAAAAAGAUAGUACCACAAGGGGAAGAGACGGCUAACUCUGUGCCAGCAGCCGCGGUAAUACAGAGGUCUCAAGCGUUGUUCGGAAUCACUGGGCGUAAGGCGUGCGUAGGCUGUUUCGUAAGUCGGGUGUGAAAGGCGCGGGCUCAACCCGCGGACGGCACAUGAUACUGCGAGACUAGAGUAAUGGAGGGGGAACCGGAAUUCUCGGUGUAGCAGUGAAAUGCGUAGAUAUCGAGAGGAACACUCGUGGCGAAGGCGGGUUCCUGGACAUUAACUGACGCUGAGGCACGAAGGCCAGGGGAGCGAAAGGGAUUAGAUACCCUAGUAGUC
This 446-nucleotide ribosomal RNA is filed under the name uncultured bacterium. RNAcentral's name for it is "partial 16S ribosomal RNA". It matches the Rfam family "Bacterial small subunit ribosomal RNA", at positions 338 to 795 of the family's 1533-position model. The record is from RNAcentral.